CGCACCCGAAAAACCCACCCGACACCAAACGCGGCUCCUCUCGACCCCUCGAGAGUAAACGCCGCCGCCGUCCUCUUCCUGACGCAACUGCAGGUCACAGCGCCACCGCCAACGUCCGAGAGUAGCCGCCGCGCCUGAGGACCGAGAGGAGCCGCCACCGAGAUCCGAGACUAGCCGCUGCGGCUGAGGACCGAGAGGAGCCGCCGCCUCCAGGUUGCGACUGUGACACACCGCCGCCUCCAGGUCGCCGCCGAGGUCCGCAAUCGCCGAAGCCGGCCGGCCCUCACCUCCAUCGACCUCCUCUCGGAUGGAUCCUGCACGUCGCUAGAUCGACGGAAGGGGACCUCCACCACCGCCGUUCUUCUCCCUCCCCGACCUCCCGUCACCGUGCUCCCCGGAUCUGGCCGUGGCCACAACCGGCGGAGCUUCCCGGCCACCGCCGACGACGCCAGCGAGGUAGCCACAGUCGUUGCUGCCAGAUCCAUGGAGGAGUGUACCCCGGCCUUCUCCUCGUUUUCCUCUUGUUGUAUGCCUUUAUUAAUAUUGCUAUGCGUUAUCACUAACACAUUGGCAAUGCAACACCUUCUGGAGAUAGCAUUGACGGUAGUACACAUGUUUUGUACUGUAAGCCAUUGCAUUUACCUAUAGGAAUAUGCAACUCACAGUUCUCUCUGUAUGUUUUCGGUACAUGUUCGGAAUAUCUGCUACUAGGUGCAUACAAGAUGAAUCUUCAAGACAUGCUAUCUUGCUUCGUAAGUACUGCUAUUUAAGGGCCGCUGCUGCCGCCGUCCGUAUCAACGCAUAGGCCGCUUGCCCAGCUCCCUCAUUCCGAGCACGACACCACGCGUCGGAGCUUGUCGGGAGGCACGGAAGGACGAACAGAGUUCUACCGGUGAUCCGUGUUGUCGCUGACGGUGUCAUAGGAUCUGCGGUGCACGUGGACAAGGCGAUGGGGCUGCCAACCUACCUCCUCUUCACCACAGUGCAUGUGGAUUCUUGGGCUACCACAACUUGGAUCAGCUUUUUCAAGAGGGGAUGCUUGCCAUUCAGAGACGGGCGUUUCGCAGUGUUCAAAAUAAUACUUUGCAAGGGACAGGAGCGCGAUGUCAAGCAGCAGCAGCAGGUUCUGCAGCUGACGACCCUGGUGAGUCCACGGUCGUGCUCAACUCCCGCCAGCAGGGCGCGAAGGAGUUUCCCCUUGAACCCCAUGACCUGAUUCUCAGGUUCGUAAUUUAGCCUAUUUUUGGCUGUUGAUCACUCCUUUGUUUCUUUGUACAUGUUCUGAUUAAUGGUGCUUUGGAACAGUUCAACAUGUAGUUUUUGAUGGGAUUUAGUAUUUUUGGGCUGUUGAGAUGGAACAGUUCAACGCGGUCGUAAUUUUGGGCUGUUGAGGUGGGAUUUAGUACAAAUCCGGGGAGCUGAAGCUUAAGAAGUUACAGAAUGAGUUUGCCUCGUUUUUCACUCUAUAUAUUGAUUUUAUUGACUACAAAGAUUUUGUAUUUUCCAUCGUCAAAACAGGCUGCACUUUCCUAAAUUUUAUGACUAAUGGAGGUGUAUGGUGCAAUCUAAGCUGGAGUACAACUUGUAUGCUUAUUUAUAUCCCUCCUGUUGCUAAUACGCAGGAAGAUAUUUAUCAUAUAUUUUUGUUGCCUCAUAGAAAAAUGAACCUAAUGUUCUUCCCUGAUAUACUAUUAGUCACGGUGUUGGCUAUUGUUAUUUGAAGUAUAGAUUGAAAUGCUUCAGAUAUUGUGCCUCAUGAAAGAACACACUUAUGUUAUGAAAUCAAACUUUCCAGUUUCUAAAAAGAUUAAGUGUCUGUUGGCUGCUAAUAAUUUUGUUUAUAAUAAAUUAUAUUCUUGUUUAUUAUAUAUGCAGGUUGAUUUGAACAAUGUAUAAGGUCGCCACUGCUGGCCGAGUUGGAUACCCAUUUGUGGUCCUUUUUUCCUUGUUCUUGUUGUAUAGAUGACAGUUCAUGGAUUUCUGAUAUGAUUGCUUCAGUGAUGAUUUUUGCAGAACCACAUGCCGAUGGUGCACUUGCCUUUGGAAUUAAAGAUCAGCUUACUACACUAACCAGAUAUCAUAUAUAAAUACUCUACUCUACAGCAGUAUGAAGGGAUUUCAGGGCUAGCAAAUAUGUUAAAGAUAGAUACAGAGAAAGGCGAUUAGGGGAGUGGAUUCCGAUAAUGAUGCGAAAAAAAUUCCUUUGGGUCGAACACAUACUCUUGAAAGAAAGCAAGAAGCUUCUUGGUAAUGGAGAUGGUUCUCUUAUAUUUGGUAGGAGUCAGAAAAAAUCCAGCAUGGAAAAACACCAUAUUCAACAUGGUGUAAUUAUGAUGAUCUAAACGAGUAUUCCUGGACUUCUGAUUGUUUCUCACUGCCAUGACCAAUACGGGAUGAUGGUGGCUUCUUCAAAUAUGUGCAAGAUAUGUCCUCUUUAGCAUCACUGGAUUUUUGAAAACGUUAUAUCUGAAUUUAGAGUGCACUUCUGCAAAAAAGAUUUUGUCCUGAUUACUAUUUCGAUUUUAUUUCUGUAGGCACUAUGAAAUGAUCGAAUGCCGCUAAUCAUUUUGGAGGUUUGUUGUAGGGUGCUCUACCAGGUCAUAAUAUGCACCCACACAAUUCAAGUUCAUAUUCUGGAAGGACAUUGACCAACGAACCUUGUAGUAAUGUUACAGGUCAUAAAAUUGUGUAUUCCUACGAACCAUCAUUGCAUGUGUGCAGUGGUUAGAGAUUUUGUAGUGGAUAAUCAAUUAUCUUUAUCUGCUUCUAACUCAAGGAAUCAUACUGCAACAUUUCCUCCAGUGCAGGCAAACUCAAAUGAUAGUUAGUAAACUUGGUUAGUAAUAUUUUUUGUUUUCUUACCUUGCAUUUGUGAUACGUCACUGAACAUGUUUAUUAGUUUGUCACGUCACUCCUGCUUGACAUGCCAAUUCACAAAGGGCAGCCCGGUGCACAUCGCUCCCGCUUGCGCAGGGUCCGGGGAACGGUCCGACCACUUGACAUGCCAAUUCACAAAAAUGAAAGAAAUCCAGAUGACCUGUGAACCUCCCUGUUGACAUAAAAUUAAUGUUGUUUUAUGUCUAAGCCUCAUCUAUCAUAUACAUGUACAGUUACGGUGGUGGAUUUCAAUUCCUGUAACUUAGUUUUCUUACGAGAUGUAACUCAUCUACUAAUAUAUAGUAGUAUGUAUAAAGUUUCUUAAUCAAGCUAGCCUAAUGGACGGCACCAUACUUAGCCAAGCUAAUAGACGACCCAUGCCCAGUACAAUUUUUUCAACUGCUGUAUAAUGGUAUUAUGAUUUCGUGCUCUUUUUCAGAAAAUCUGGGUGAUGAAGCUGACUCAAUAGAUCCAGAUUUUGGCCGCUAAAGCUGGUAGUGCAUCCUUGUCUAUGGUGUGGACAGAGGGAGAAAGGAGGCAAUUAACUACAGUCUGAAUGUAAAAUAAAAUUGUCUAAAUUAAAAUAGAAUCUGAUAAAACAAAACAAAGGAGGUCAUUAACUAGAGAAUUAGGCUGGACUAGAUAUACAUAUUAUACUGUAUUUUCCCACUAAAAACAUCCAGCGGGGAGGCUGAUGCAGCACUAUCACGAAUUGUUCCAGCUCUUCCUGAAUCGAUAUGGUUUGUCGAUGUUGGGAUCCUCGAUGGUGAUUAGCAACUGAAUCGUGGUAAUCAUCGACACUUCUCUCCCACAGCCAACUCCCUUUGAUCUGGCCCAUCAUUUUAUAUUGCUCCUCUUCCUGUUUGUUUGGAUAAAGUUAGUCUUUCAUAUCUUUUUUACCUGUUUGAUAUGUCCUUGCACUAAUUUUGAUCAGUGUGCUAUUAGAUUUCUACAGCUAGAACAAAGUGUAUGUGUAUUCUGAAUCCGGGUGCGUUGACGUUCUGUUGCUUGAAGUGAUGUUUUCUUGGUGACGAUGUAGGAUGGAAGUACACUUUACUUCAAAGGAUUGCACACAUAUGAAGCGGUUGUUGAUGAAGUCAUGGAAAAGGGACUUGCCAAUGCUACACAGUCAUGAAAUCUUUGUCUGUUUCACUCUUCUUCCAUACAUGAUAUGCAAGGUUCUUGGGAUGCUCGGUACUGUUGCCAGGAGUGCUGAAGCACAAAAUACAAGGGGGUGCAUGAGGAGGCGAGAGCUGACGGCAACCAUUGGAGGAGGUCUGGUCGGUCGAAGAGUAAGGCGUGGGCAACUCCGGAGAGAUUUGGCUUGAGCAAAUGUCGAUGCUGCUGCAAUGAGAAGACCCUUUCUGCAUGUAAUUCAGGCAAUAGCUGAGCUCCCAGCCUCCUAAGACUGGCAUGGGCACAUCAAUAAGGGCAUGGAGCCCAUCAAAGAGGAGGUCGGAGCGGCGUUGGACCUGGAUCAACUCAUCUAAAUCAAGCGGCCGGCCUCGGCUGGGAGUCACCAACGCUCCACCUGGACGGCGUCGGCUGGGACAGCUCCACAUGCAAUGGCUGGCCGGGGACCAGACCUCGACAGGAACGUGUUGCCCUUUGAGCCGGUGCAGAGCGACAAGUUCGUAGCAUCGUUAUAGUUUUUUGCACAAAGAUAGACCCUGUAGUACUGAUCAGGUGAAACAGAUCGAUGUGGCACUGGUACUGAACUGAAGCAACAAUUUGUUCAACAAAAUAUGAUCCAAAUAGAGCGCAUAUUAGUUUCUAUAACAAGGAUCGUCGCCGGUUUUGUGCCA
This is a long non-coding RNA of Triticum aestivum (bread wheat), 4682 nucleotides long. RefSeq lists it as uncharacterized. The record is from RefSeq and is a predicted model, not a curated record. The transcript is spliced from 8 exons. NCBI's taxonomy places the organism in Eukaryota, Viridiplantae, Streptophyta, Magnoliopsida, Poales, Poaceae.